UACCUGCGGCAAGACGAAAAGACCCCGGGAGCUUUACUGUAUCCUGAUAUUGAGCUAAGUUUUAAGAUGCGUAGCAUAGAGAGGAGACUUUGAGACCCUAUUCUCGGAUAGGGUGGAGUCGCCAGUGAAAUACUCUUCUUUUUGAAGCUUUGUUCUAAUCGACCGCACUUCACUGCGUUACGUGCGAAUUUCGCACGAGCAUAGCGAAGUGUGGUUGAGACAGUUUCAGGUGGGCAGUUUGAGUGGGGCGCUCGCCUCCUAAAAAGUAACGGAGGCGUUUAUAAGGUCGGCUAGGUACGGAUGGAAAUCGUACCGAUAGGGCAAAGCCACAAGCCGGCUUUACUGCAAGACAGACAUGUCGCGCAGUUACGAAAGUAGAACUUAGUGAACCGACCCUAAUCGUUGACUUGUGGUUGGCAGUUUACUGUUAAUUAUUUGUCAGCGCGCUUAUAGGCGCGGGGAAGAUCAUCGGAUAAAAGCUACCCCGGGGAUAACAGGCUAGUAGUGCCCGCGAGUCCAUAUCUACGGCACUGUUCGGCACCUCGAUGUCGGCUCAUCUCAUCCUGGGACUGGAGAAAACAUAACUUCUCUCCUUUAUAGAAAUAUAAAGGUAAUAAACAAGCCCAAAAUGGGGAAAGCCAUUAUUAAACAAUUUGAUACAUAUUGAUAUAUUCGCAGGUUCCAGGUAUAAUUGCUUAAUAAA
This 703-nucleotide ribosomal RNA is filed under the name bacterium. RNAcentral's name for it is "partial 23S ribosomal RNA". It matches the Rfam family "Bacterial large subunit ribosomal RNA", at positions 2067 to 2592 of the family's 2925-position model. The record is from RNAcentral.